RNAcentral lists this transfer RNA (83 nucleotides) under archaeon. RNAcentral describes it as "tRNA-Ser". It matches the Rfam family "tRNA". From Rfam's summary of the family: Transfer RNA (tRNA) molecules are approximately 80 nucleotides in length. The record is from RNAcentral.
GCCGGGAUGGCCCAACGGUACGGCGCUGGCCUUGAGAGCCAGUUGGACUUUGUCCUUUCCAGGUUCGAAUCCUGGUCCCGGCG